Gadus morhua (Atlantic cod) is the source of this 797-nucleotide long non-coding RNA. RefSeq lists it as uncharacterized. The record is from RefSeq and is a predicted model, not a curated record. Lineage: Eukaryota; Metazoa; Chordata; Actinopteri; Gadiformes; Gadidae. The transcript is spliced from 3 exons.
ACCCUUCUCGUAAAUCAAGGCAAGGGUGCUUGUGAGGGAGGAGGGGCCAAGGAGGCUACUAUAAAAGGGGAGCAUUUGAUAGUGUUUCCUAAGAUCUACACUCCGACUCACAGAUUUGAACUACGCAUAUUGAAAUGGCUCAAAAUCAAGGAAAACCCUCCGUCUGCGAGCCACAACCAGCCUGCCCUCCUCAACCAUUCUGUACUCAAAUAUACCCUCCUCAAAUAGACCCUCCUCAAAUAUGCCCUCCUCAACCAUGCCCUCCUCAACCAUGCCCUCCUCAACCAUGCCCUCCUCAACCCUGCUACCAGCAGGGCGGGCAACAUGGAGGCCAUGGACAUGGUGGGCAUGGACAGUGCGGGAAUUAAUAAAAAUGUCGUUGUUGUUUAAAGAUACUGUUUAACAAUAAAAUAAGAAUUACCAGUUAAAAAAAAGAGUUUGGCCAUAAUAUGUAAGGUGAAGCCUAAUUGCAAUUGUAUCUGGUUGUGUAUAUUCCCGGAAUAUGUUCAUUCUUCGUAAUCUUCCUGUAUAAAUAUAAUUUGAGGUCUCGCUUAGAAACCCGAUAUCUCAUGAAACCUUUGUAAGUUGUUCCUGCAAGAGGGCUUUGAAGAAGUAUGCUCCUGAGCGCAGUGGCGGCUGGUGAAUUUUAUUAUAGGGGGGGCUGAAAGUUUGUAAACCAAACCCCUGUAGGGGGGUCUGGGGGCAUCCUCCCCCCGUAGAUUUUUUUACGAUUUUCCCAUACAAAUGAAGCAUUCUGGUGCAUUCUGACAAAAUAAUAAAGACAAAAUAUAACAUUU